AUGUCAUGGCUAAUUAAGUGUUAUUAUUUCUGGUCAAUUUUAUGGUCACAAUUCAGCAUAUCGAAACAAAGCUGACUUUCUUGAAUGCAGAUCUGGUCACUCUCUAAGCUUAAAGGAGUUCACACACACACAGGUGCAGGUCACAAAAAGCUGCCAUAGACAAUUGCACUAUAGAGAGGAAAAAAGAGAAAAGCGGAGCAAAAGUCAAAAGUAGAGUAAAUUUGUUGCGGCACAAUGGGGCACGUGUCGCAAGCAGCAGCAAGUGGAGCUGAAAGGAGGCGACAACAGUGUGCGGUUAGCUGGCUUUAGCUUCUCUUCUUGUGUCAAAAGGGGAGCAACACUAAAGGUGGCAAUGACAUACACACUAAUAUAUACAUUCAUACAUACACGCAUACAUAUGCAAGCAAUGCUCAAGCAAGAAGGAAAGAGAAGAAGAAACAGGUAGGCACAAGUUGAGUGCACUCACAAAUACAUAUGCAGACGAAGAAGCAAUCGAAAUGCAUUUGAAUUGAGCAGCGAACAGCAUGCGCUGAUUGCUGCCUAUGUGUGAGUGUAUGUGUGGAUGAGAUGUACAGUGGAUCAAAGCUUAUUUAAUCAAAUUUAAAGUAUUAUGCUCGCCAAACUAUGAGAGCUAUUAAAAUAAUUUAAAUGAAAGCUUUUAAUGCAUUGUUUAAACUUAAAAUAUCACACUUCAUUUAUUUUUGAACAUUUUUUAAAUAUGCUGGUAUCCACUGUAAGUGCAAAAAAGGUAGUCAAAUAAAAAGGGCACAACCAAAAAAAAAAAUAUAUAUAUAUGUAUGUACAUACAUUUACAUAUACAUAUGUAUACAUGUGCAUGCAUAUACAUAUAUAAAAAGGGCAGAGCACUUGCCACACAAAACGAUUUACACGACACUAAAGCUAAAAACAGGCGCACGCCACUAUAAAAAAGAAAGGAAAGAGGAGCGAGCUGAGGUGAGAGAACGACGUCAUGACUGAGAACAGCAGCUACAACAAAAACAACGACACAAAUAAGAAGAGGAGGCGCGUUAAGGCAGCGCCAGGUACUUUUUUACGGGGCUACUGUUCAAAUUUGCAUAUGCUUUAAAUAUUUAAUGUAAUUCAAAAAAGAGAGGAGACAAGUAUCACAACCCAAGGCAGCUUCACUUUCAGCUCCAACAAGAACACCAACAACAACGCACAAUGUGCCAAUUGGACAAACGGCGGCGCGCAGCUGUAUAAUUCAAUUGUUUUUUUUUUUAUAAACGGACUGCUGGUCAGAAAAACGCAAGCAAGGCGAUAUAUACAACACAAAUACAAAUUCUCAGCCAAAUGAAAAAAAAAACGUUCGCGCAUUUGGCGAAAAAAUCAAUUUUCCGUGUGAUUGCCAAAUGCAAUUGCUGCCUGCCCUGUGUGACUAACAACACACCAAGCCGCCACAUAGAAUGGGGCGCAACAACACACACACACACACACAUGACAAAGAAAAGAAAAAUAAUAUAGCAGAAAACUUCUUAUUGGGUGGCCCUGGGACAGACACGAGUUUACGCCAGCCCUGGCUUACAGCUGGCUUUCGACUUACGCAGCGUUUUGUGGCCUUUUUUUAACGUAAGUUUCACUGUUAAUUAUUGACAUAACAAAUGCGGCGCCUAGAACAAGAACACGAGCUGAUGACGGCAACAACACCAGAGGCUCCAAUCAGGACUCACACACACGUUCGCACGCGGAGAAAAGUCGGAGAAUGAGCGAGAGAAAGGCACACGCGAAAUUGCUCACAUUAACUUGUCGAAGUAAAUGGGCAGUCAAAAAGCAAAUAAAGAAUAUGAAACUAGCUUUUAAUUUCAAAAAAAAAAAUUCUCGUCCUUUUUUGUUUUGUGUGCAAUAUUCCAUUCUCUACGUGGUAGCCAAAUGAAAUGAAUGAAACUGGUUGCCGCACUCUUUCCUCCUCUUGUAGCUGUCGGUCGGCACAGUAGGCUACGCAUACACGCACGAUAAAAAUCGCACACACUCCCACGCAAAAACGAAGCACAGCACAAAUCACAUGUUUCAGACUUUCACUCAUACAGGGUGCGUUCAGAAGUUUCAGGACGACAGGACCUUACUCAUUUGUAUAUGCUUUUAGCAGUCAGUUUAGCCAAAUCAUAUUGAGUGUGGCAAACGUUUCGUGGCCAAAUGAACAACAGUCUGAAUUGGACAGGCAAAGCAGUCAGACGACGUCGUCUCCAAGGGCGCUGGGUGAAUUUUGUUUAAUCGGCGACUCAUAUUGAAAGUAAAAUGGACGACAAUGGGAUUCCUUAUGCCAUGGAUCCCAAGGAAGCGUGGCUGGAAAAGAUAACAUUCGGUGGAUUUCGUCGCUGGCAUAUUAUAGCCGCAGUGCUGGGCAUACUGAUGAGUAUUAUGAUUAUGGUCUGUUGCUGCAUAAGAUUUCGUAUACCACGCACCAAACAGGAAAUCGAAGCGGAUUAUCAACGCAAACAGAUCACCAAAAAGUUUCGCGAGAAACUGCAACAGAUUAAAAAUUCCGAAAUGGAUGACAUGGAUCUGCAAAAAGCACUUGCUUAUAUCAAAUUGGAACAAUAUGAUGAUCCCUAAGUGCUCUGUAAAUUUCCAUAUGCAACCAUCACCACAAUCAAAAACAAGCACAACGGAAUUCUAUAUCUUUAAACGUACAAAAUUACUUCUAAACUAAACUACACAAUUGACACUGCCAAUUUUGCGUGCGCAUACAAAGCGAUUACCUGAAUUUGCAGGCAAGCAGAGAGAGCAUGAACGAGAAGCAGAAUGUUAAAUUUAAGAUCUAAUAAACUACUUAAAAAAUAAUAAUUAUAAUAAUAAAAGUCGGCAAACAAU
RNA transcript from Drosophila nasuta, 2829 nucleotides. It is a transcript of the gene named transmembrane inner ear expressed protein, with no coding region annotated. The record is from RefSeq and is a predicted model, not a curated record. The transcript has 5 exons. Lineage: Eukaryota; Metazoa; Arthropoda; Insecta; Diptera; Drosophilidae.